Molecule: long non-coding RNA, 603 nt
Organism: Cornus florida
Lineage: Eukaryota; Viridiplantae; Streptophyta; Magnoliopsida; Cornales; Cornaceae
Exons: 3
Source: RefSeq, a predicted model, not a curated record
CAAGAGCACCUAGUGAGUGGAGAAGCCCACCAAUUUAGCUUAGGGUUUACACAUUUUAAUUCAUUCAUCACUUUCCUCUCAAGAACCCUAAGGAAGCCACCAUUGGAGAAAAGCUUGACUAGUAGCUUUGACUUCAUUUUUGGUGCCCUUUCACUCACCUUAGAACUUUGAACUUGGAAUACUUUUUGUUCCCCUCAUCCUCCUCUUCAAAACCCUUGAAGGAUCUAGCCUAACUCCUAGUUUUACUUUGGUAUCUAGAGAUUCAAUUCUCUAGUGAGUUGAAGGUAGCAAGCUGAAAAAUCUGUUUUGCGGACCGAAAAUUUGGGGCGAUUUCAUUUCGGUGGUAAUUGGGAUUUUCAUUCCAAUAGAGAUCACGGGAAGGAGGUGGUGGAUGACAUUCCUCCACAAGCAUGAGGAGGAAACUUAAAGUGUGUUUUAUAACCAUUUUAUAGACUUGGGCCAUUUUUUUUUGUAUAGUAACAUUUUAACAUAUAUUAAGAGUGUUUAGCAUGGCCUUGUAAAUCCAACUAUGAGCCUUUGGCUCUAUUUUGAUGUAAAUUUGGACAAAAUGUUAGACUGUGUAAUAUAUCUUAUUUGAAUGUG